RNAcentral lists this ribosomal RNA (498 nucleotides) under uncultured bacterium. RNAcentral's name for it is "partial 16S ribosomal RNA". It matches the Rfam family "Bacterial small subunit ribosomal RNA", at positions 30 to 523 of the family's 1533-position model. The record is from RNAcentral.
AUUGAACGCUGGCGGCAUGCCUUACACAUGCAAGUCGAACGGUAACAGGUCUUCGGAUGCUGACGAGUGGCGAACGGGUGAGUAAUACAUCGGAACGUGCCUAGUAGUGGGGGAUAACUACUCGAAAGAGUGGCUAAUACCGCAUGAGAUCUACGGAUGAAAGCAGGGGAUCGCAAGACCUUGUGCUACUAGAGCGGCCGAUGGCAGAUUAGGUAGUUGGUGGGAUAAAAGCUUACCAAGCCGACGAUCUGUAGCUGGUCUGAGAGGACGAUCAGCCACACGGGGACUGAGAAACGGCCCAGACUCCUACGGGAGGCAGCAGUGGGGAAUUUUGGCCAAUGGGCGCAAGCCUGACCCAGCAAUGCCGCGUGCAGGAUGAAGGCCUUCGGGUUGUAAACUGCUUUUGUACGGAACGAAAAGCCCCGGGUUAAUACCCUGGGGUCAUGACGGUACCGUAAGAAUAAGCACCGGCUAACUACGUGCCAGCAGCCGCAGUAA